RNAcentral lists this ribosomal RNA (1098 nucleotides) under Echinococcus canadensis. Its description in RNAcentral is "bacterial SSU rRNA". The stretch from base 1 to 873 matches the Rfam family "Eukaryotic small subunit ribosomal RNA". Lineage: Eukaryota; Metazoa; Platyhelminthes; Cestoda; Cyclophyllidea; Taeniidae. The record is from RNAcentral.
CCUGGUUGAUCCUGCCAGUAGUCAUAUGCUUGUCUCAAAGAUUAAGCCAUGCAUGUCUCAGUUCAGGCCUUAAUACGGUGAGACCGCGAAUGGCUCAUUAAAUCAGCUAUGGUUUAUUGGAUCGUGCCCGUUAGAUGGAUAACUGUAAUAACUCUAGAGCUAAUACAUGCCGCGAUGCCCUGACCCUGCUCAUGUUUGCCUUGCUUGCAUGGGGUGGGGGAUGGGUGCACUUAUUAGAUCAGAAGCCAACCAAUUGUGCGUGUGCGGCCUACCGCGAGGUGGUCGUCGCGCGCGUUGAGGCGCCCACUUCUGGUGACUCUGGAUAAUUGUUACAGAUCGCAGUCGGCGUUGAGUCGGCGACGGGUCCUUCAAAUGUCUGCCCUAUCAACUUUCGAUGGUAGGUGACCUGCCUACCAUGGUGGUAACGGGUAACGGGGAAUCAGGGUUCGAUUCCGGAGAGGGAGCCUGAGAAACGGCUACCACUUCCAAGGGAGGCAGCAGGCGCGCAAAUUACCCACUCCCAGCACGGGGAGGUGGUGACGAAAAAUACCGAUGCGGGACUCCUUCAAGAGGCUCCGUAAUCGGAAUGAGUGGACUCUAAACCCCUUCACGAGGAUCAAUUGGAGGGCAAGUCUGGUGCCAGCAGCCGCGGUAACUCCAGCUCCAAUAGCGUAUAUUAAAGUUGCUGCAGUUAAAAAGCUCGUAGUUGGAUCUCGGUAGCAUUGUUGCCUGUUGGUGAUUGGGCGGCAGGUGUGUGGUUAUGGGUGCGCAGUUUCCCCGGCGUCUGCGUGCUAGUGGGCCGGUGGGUGGUUCGGUUGGUGGGUUGGGCAGUUGCUCACUUGCCGUCCGGUCUGCUUGCUGGCUUGGUCAUUCAUUUGCAGCGGUGUUUGGGGGCGCUGUGUGGUCGUGGCCGUGAGCAAGCACUGUCGCGUCAAGCCGACAAGGCGGUGGUGUCACCUUGAAGCCAUGUCUGUGGUGUAGUAGUCGCAGGUGUGGGCGGGUGUUGGGCAGUGCUCUGCACGUGCUGUGGAGCCUGUCGGCUCGUCCGCAUGCCUUCGGAUGCCCUUGAUUGGGUGUCUGCGGGCGGAUGGCACGUUU